GGAUUGUGGCUCAGUGGUAGAGUGCCCAACUAGCACGGGCGGGACCCGGGUUCAAUCCUCAGCACCA
This 67-nucleotide transfer RNA is filed under the name Marmota monax (woodchuck). Its description in RNAcentral is "tRNA.Ala". The record is from RNAcentral. Lineage: Eukaryota; Metazoa; Chordata; Mammalia; Rodentia; Sciuridae.